Long non-coding RNA from Brassica napus (rape), 3750 nucleotides. RefSeq lists it as uncharacterized. The record is from RefSeq and is a predicted model, not a curated record. NCBI's taxonomy places the organism in Eukaryota, Viridiplantae, Streptophyta, Magnoliopsida, Brassicales, Brassicaceae. The transcript has 5 exons.
AUUUUUAAUUUUUAAUUUUAAAAACAUUAUAUAAUUUGACAAUAUUUUGUUUCUUUUUUAAAAAAAUAUGGAAUAUGAAAUAACACAAUCCUAUUCAUUGGCAAACCUAGAAAUUCACGCUAGGAGUGAACCCCGUCAAUUUCGAAUAAUGUUUCUUAAAAUUGGUAUUCACCAUCACCACAAAUAAUUACACACAUACCUAUUAAUCAUAUAAGUUUCUCUUUUGAUCAUCUACUAUUUUUUCCGUUCGUUUACAUGAACUUUUCAAAAACUAGCCUUGAGCAAACCUUUUUGAACCUAGACUUCAACUUCGCGUUCCUCCCACGAUACCCGACAACUCGCACCAUUAGUAAGAAAAUGACAGUCUCAACAAACAUAGACCACAAUCUGAUAACUCCAUGACAUAGACCGACGAUGUUUUUGACUAUCAAAUGUUUGUCUUUUAUGUGUAAUUUUCAGUGGCUAAUAAUGUCGAGUUCUAAAAUAAUACUAAUUAAGAAUCAUUUCGAAGAAACUGAUUUUUUAUUUACCUAGUUACUAACCAUGCCCCCAUGCAUUGAUACGUCAUAUUUUGGUUUCGAAUGACACGAAGCGCCACGCACCGCACCGCUGUGAAUAGUAACAAAAACAUCUACAUAUAUCUAUGCAUCUAUAUAUUUUUGUUACUAUUACAACCGUACCGCAGUUGUCCUGCACGUCACCAUUCGGUCCUUUGCUGUUGUUUGUUUUUAAGUUUCUCACUAAUUUCUUACGAAUUAAUUGUUAUUUUUAAUCAAAUUAAUUUGUAUAUAAACUUCUGACAAAACUAUGUGGUUCCAUUGUACCUGACAUGACCUAGUAAAUUGAAAUGAGGAUGUUGAAUAAAAAUUCUACACAAUAUUUCACAAGCACAUAGUAUAUAAUUUAUAGGAUAAUCUUAACAUAACGUUUUCAUUUCUUUGCGAUGCUGCAGAAUACAAAUAGAUAAGACUAAUUGCAGGGCGUGGUGAGCCAACAACUUUCGCCCCACAUCUCUUAACAUAAUUAUAAUAAGUCAAUUUUUAGGUUUAGAUUUUGGUGUUUUCCAUUUGGACAUUUGUCACAUGCAUCAUGAGUGCCACUUUAUCAAAACUAAUAUUCUUGUACUAACUAGUAAUCCCCUAAUUAAGAAUCAAUUCGACUUAAUAUUUGUGUGAUUGUUUUUUAUUUUAAAAAUAUGAAUUCAUAUGGCGUCCCAAAUGGAGAUCACUAAACUACGAGGUCCAAGAUUGCUUACUUAUCGGUGUGAAAAUAUAUAAGUAGGCAUGCAUUUUUUUCUGAUCGAUUUCUUUGCUGAAAAUGAAAAAGAAGAAAAGUUUCGCUUGUUUGUGUUUUUAGCAUCAACAUUUCCUGCCCAGCCAAGACAAUGAGAUUAUUACUCUACACCCAAAACUAUUAUUCAAAUGCUUGCAUCAUGUUUAAUCGUUUCGUGCUAUGGCAUCUUUUACUUGAAUGAUCUAGUUGAAGUCAAGUUUUACGGUGAGGAAGACAUGGCAAAUGAAGUCUCUUUGUUAUCUUGCUUUGAAGCUUCUUUAGCAGAAAAGCCUCCCCGGUCAUUUGAUAUGUAGUGGUGUCCUGGCUAUAAAGAACACAAGCAAGGGAACAAGAAGCCAGAGUUAUGAAAGUUGCAAGAUAUUAUUGUUCUCCACUUGAAAAGGUUCACGGAUAUCAACAAGAUUGAUACUAUUUUAAGCUUCAUUGUCGUCUCAUUUUUUUAUUAUUAAGUUAGAGUGGUAUAAAGAGUAUGCAAGGGUGAGCAUUUGAGAUCAAAACCGAACCACAUAGUGUAGAAAUUUUGUUGUAACUGAAUUGAUCUUUAUUUAAUCGAUUUUACUGAAUUUUUAUUCAACUAUAACUUUUGAUUCUUAAUGUGAGCCAUAGAGUGAGAAAUGGAUAGAAACAGAAACAAAGAAAAAAACAAGCAAAAUGAAUAACUUGCGAAGGAUGAGUCUCCAAAAGAGCUUUCCAUGAGAGUUUGUUUUUGGUGAAGGACUUCAGAGAAUGAUUUAGAAGAUUGAAGCAAUUUCUUUUUGGUCUUGGGUUUUGACUUAUUACAACUGAGUGGUUUGGGCUUUGACCUUAUUUCAUUGUUUUGGGCUAGUAUAUUGAUUGUGUAUUUGCUUUUUCUUCUUCGUUUUUCUUCAUUGUGCUCACAUUCCAAUUGGAUUUGGGUGAUAAGUUUUCCCCUAAAGAACUAUUUUUUGACAACAAAAAAACAUUAAUUGAUCUAAUUCUAACACUGAAGUUUUUAUUCUACUGGCAAAAAACUUCCAUGAAUGAAGUUUUUAGAAAGUAGGCCCAGCCCACCAUGCACGCUCGUGUUAGUGAGAUUUUCAAAACAGUAGACCAUCGUUAACCAGGGAGCUCAGGGGGAGAGUGCUUAAAAAAAAUAUUAAACAAAUGAGUGGAUCCCAGGAAAAAUCUAAGCAGCAGCGUUUCUGAUGCUUGUUUAAGCGUCACUAUUCGUUUUGACUGCGGGUUCCACCGAUACGUGGCGGUCCGCAUUUGAUUUUUUUUUAAUAAAAAAAAAAUUAAAAAAAAUAAUUAAGCACCCCUAAUGGAUUGCUAGGGUUAAUGAUGGUCUUACACACACAAGUCAAUAAAUCGAUCAAAUCUUUUAUUUUACCAAACCGUUAGCCAAUCAAAUACAAAUACUCAAAUAGUAACCUAAAUCAUUGUGUCCACAUUAGUUGUAUUCGCACAUUUCAACGACGUAGUAUUCUUAUACGCAUAGACAGACAUCAAAACUAUACUAAAAGCAACUAAUGAAGACCUCUUACUGUAUCCACCUCAGACAGGAAAUUCGACCAAUAGAGAUGAAGCAUUCUUCCACGUCAUUUAGUAAUGGCUUUGGGUUGGGCUUUUGUUCAGACAAACUUGCUUUCGGUUGGGCUUAGUUUGUUUAGAAGCCAUCAUCAUCUUCGCUACCACUUCGUCUUCUUCCCUCUGAUCCCGUAGAAACCGAUCCCCCUCUACACAAUCAAUCCCAUCCUUGACUUUGAUCAAUCAAUUUCGUCUUGAUGAUUUCGUUUCAGCUCCCUCUGUUCCUCCUUCUUUAUAUACUGAUCCUCUUUUCUUUGUACAAACCCAAACCCUGUUUAUAUGAUCAUUUUUCACUGAUUUAAAUCUCAGCUUUCUGUCGGCAAAUGUCCCGUCGCCUUCCAUUUCAACGACGUCUCACCAGGACCUGCCGAGUCAGAGCUUCGAUUUUGGCUAAUCCAGUUGUGGGAUGGAUCCUUAGAACCAGGGGAGGGGGGUCUAGGUUCCUGCUUUGAAAGAAUCGGUUUCACGUAUUCUAGAUUGUUAAGAGUUCUGGCGUUUUCUUCAAGUAUGCUGCAUCCGGUUAAGCUCAUGAUCUGAAUGAUACCUAGUUUACUAAACUGGAUGAGCUCUUCACUCAGACCCAACUCUACUCUGAAUUUCUUCUUGAGAAAAUGGAGGAUAUCACAAAAAAUGGGACAGAAGGUGAGACCCAAAAAGCUGAGCCCGAGAAGAAAGGAGGUCGUGGACGCAAAAGAAAUGCUGCUACUCAGGUAAGCCAGUAUGCUGUGGAGAUGAGAUGGGUUGAUACAUAUUUUCCAUUUACUGAGCUUUCGAGCUUGAGAUAUAUUUUUAAGGAAGACUGGUGAGAAGUUUCGGGCUGUGGGGUGACAGAACAAAGAAUUUUGAAGCAUAGUGGAUUAGAAAAUAAUGCUGCUUGGGACUUUGGACUUGGACUUAAUAGAAAGACUC